AUUGAACGCUGGCGGCAGGCCUAACACAUGCAAGUCGAGCGGAUGAAGGGAGCUUGCUCCUGGAUUCAGCGGCGGACGGGUGAGUAAUGCCUAGGAAUCUGCCUGGUAGUGGGGGAUAACGUCCGGAAACGGGCGCUAAUACCGCAUACGUCCUGAGGGAGAAAGUGGGGGAUCUUCGGACCUCACGCUAUCAGAUGAGCCUAGGUCGGAUUAGCUAGUUGGUGGGGUAAAGGCCUACCAAGGCGACGAUCCGUAACUGGUCUGAGAGGAUGAUCAGUCACACUGGAACUGAGACACGGUCCAGACUCCUAAGGGAGGCAGCAGUGGGGAAUAUUCGACAAUGGGCGAAAGCCUGAUCCAGCCAUGCCGCGUGUGUGAAGAAGGUCUUCGGAUUGUAAAGCACUUUAAGUUGGGAGGAAGGGCAGUAAGUUAAUACCUUGCUGUUUUGACGUUACCAACAGAAUAAGCACCGGCUAACUUCGUG
Molecule: ribosomal RNA, 484 nt
Filed under: uncultured bacterium
Lineage: Bacteria
Description: partial 16S ribosomal RNA
Rfam family: Bacterial small subunit ribosomal RNA
Source: RNAcentral